RNAcentral lists this ribosomal RNA (497 nucleotides) under uncultured bacterium. Its description in RNAcentral is "partial 16S ribosomal RNA". It matches the Rfam family "Bacterial small subunit ribosomal RNA", at positions 28 to 507 of the family's 1533-position model. The record is from RNAcentral.
GAUGAACGCUGGCGGCGUGCCUAAUACAUGCAAGUCGAGCGAACAGACGAGGAGCUUGCUCCUCUGACGUUAGCGGCGGACGGGUGAGUAACACGUGGAUAACCUACCUAUAAGACUGGGAUAACUUCGGGAAACCGGAGCUAAUACCGGAUAAUAUAUUGAACCGCAUGGUUCAAUAGUGAAAGGCGGUUUUGCUGUCACUUAUAGAUGGAUCCGCGCCGCAUUAGCUAGUUGGUAAGGUAACGGCUUACCAAGGCAACGAUGCGUAGCCGACCUGAGAGGGUGAUCGGCCACACUGGAACUGAGACACGGUCCAGACUCCUACGGGAGGCAGCAGUAGGGAAUCUUCCGCAAUGGGCGAAAGCCUGACGGAGCAACGCCGCGUGAGUGAUGAAGGUCUUUGGAUCGUAAAACUCUGUUAUUAGGGAAGAACAAAUGUGUAAGUAACUAUGCACGUCUUGACGGUACCUAAUCAGAAAGCCACGGCUAACUACGUG